CGAAACCUCCUCACACUUUUAUUGAUCAUGUGGUCUUUGGUAUGCUUCCUGAGGACAGUAAAAGCCCGGAGACCGGUCCCAAAGUCAAAUUUGCAGCAAGCGUAGGCCCAUAGGAACAUGCCUUUACUAUUUCGGUAAGAAUUGGCUUGACCUCGGACAUUGGCUUUUGUCCAAGUGCUGUAUACGCAGAAACUUUGAGACAUGGAUUUAAAAUAAUGUAAUGAAAAAUACAUUAUCAGAUUGCAAAUUAACUUAUGUUCAAUAAAAAUCGUCCUUUUUGCGUGUACACUUGUUUCGAGUUGCGGUAAACGCGUUUACAUCAUUUGGUUUUCACUCUUUCUGCUCAUAAAGGUGACAACUUGCACAUUAUAUAUGUAGAUGUAACAAUGCAUACUCUGUAUAAU
Long non-coding RNA from Drosophila sulfurigaster albostrigata, 404 nucleotides. RefSeq lists it as uncharacterized. The transcript has 2 exons. The record is from RefSeq and is a predicted model, not a curated record. NCBI's taxonomy places the organism in Eukaryota, Metazoa, Arthropoda, Insecta, Diptera, Drosophilidae.